Long non-coding RNA from Vidua macroura (Pin-tailed whydah), 496 nucleotides. RefSeq lists it as uncharacterized. The record is from RefSeq and is a predicted model, not a curated record. NCBI's taxonomy places the organism in Eukaryota, Metazoa, Chordata, Aves, Passeriformes, Viduidae. The transcript has 3 exons.
CCUUUUCUGCACUGACUCAUCACAGCAUCUGCUGCUGUCACCUCCCCAGUGUCCUGGGGACCAAAAAAAAGGAUCUGUUCAAAGGCUAGAUUUUAAAAUGCCAGUCCUGGGCUCCCUGAAGAUGAUCCAGCCCAUGAAGAGAAAGCUGACAAAGGGUAUGAGCGCUCCUUUCAGACGGAGACUUGUGCUGCCGAACGCGCUACGUGGUAAUUUUCCAGCAGGAUACAAGGACAGGAGCAACCAUCCAUCAAAGCACAUUGUCACCAGCGUGGCAGACAGCAAGCCCCAGGUGUGGAGGGGACAAGCUCUCACAAGUUCACAUUUUUGGUCCUGGUUCCUGUUUCACGUGGCAGCAGGUUGGCCUCGACCCGGUGCCUGCCCCAACAGAGCAGGACACGGCAGCUUGAAAGGGACUGUUGGGAGAAGAACAGCUGAGAGCCACAACGAUCCCAGCGUGUGUAUAAAUAGAGACGGAGCUGUUAUCCUGAUGAAAUGA